GUACUGAUGAAGAGUCCCAAAGUGAUGGGACGAAACAGAUGUCGAGUAU
This 49-nucleotide non-coding RNA is filed under the name Trichobilharzia regenti. Lineage: Eukaryota; Metazoa; Platyhelminthes; Trematoda; Strigeidida; Schistosomatidae. The record is from RNAcentral.